UACGGAGGGGGCUAGCGUUGUUCGGAAUUACUGGGCGUAAAGCGCACGUAGGCGGCUUUGUAAGUUAGAGGUGAAAGCCCGGAGCUCAACUCCGGAAUUGCCUUUAAGACUGCAUCGCUCGAAUCAUGGAGAGGUGAGUGGAAUUCCGAGUGUAGAGGUGAAAUUCGUAGAUAUUCGGAAGAACACCAGUGGCGAAGGCGACUCACUGGACAUGUAUUGACGCUGAGGUGCGAAAGCGUGGGGGAGCAAACAGG
This 254-nucleotide ribosomal RNA is filed under the name uncultured bacterium. RNAcentral describes it as "partial 16S ribosomal RNA". It matches the Rfam family "Bacterial small subunit ribosomal RNA", at positions 524 to 776 of the family's 1533-position model. The record is from RNAcentral.